GACAGAGGUCCCGAGCGUUAGGCGGAAUCACUGGGCUUAAAGCGUGUGUAGGCGGAUCUGUAAGUACCUUGUGAAAUCCCACGGCUUAACCGUGGAACUGCUCGGUAUACUGCGGAUCUUGAGCCACCUAGGGGCAACCGGAACAAACGGUGGAGCGGUGAAAUGCGUAGAUAUCGUUUGGAACGCCAAUGGUGAAAACAGGUUGCUGGGGGUGUGCUGACGCUGAGACACGAAAGCCAGGGGAGCAAACGGG
RNAcentral lists this ribosomal RNA (253 nucleotides) under uncultured bacterium. RNAcentral's name for it is "partial 16S ribosomal RNA". It matches the Rfam family "Bacterial small subunit ribosomal RNA", at positions 524 to 776 of the family's 1533-position model. The record is from RNAcentral.